UUAAAGGAAUUGACGGUCCCGCACAAGCAGCGGAGCGUGUGGUUUAAUUCGUUGCUACACGAAGAACCUUACCUGGGUUUGACAUAGCAGUGGUAGGAAGCGAAAGCGGACGACCCUUCGGGGAGCUGUUACAGGUGUUGCAUGGCUGUCGUCAGCUCGUGUCGUGAGAUGUUCGGUUAAGUCCGCUAACGAGCGCAACCCGCGUUGUGUGUUACAAGUGUCACACAAUACCGCCGGUAUUAAGUCGGAGGAAGGUGCGGAUGACGUCAAGUCAGCAUGACCUUUAUAUCCAGGGCUACACACACGCUACAAUGGUCAGCACAAUAGGUUGCCAAGUCGUGAGACGGAGCCAAUCCUCCAAAGCUGGCCUCAGUUCAGAUUGUAGGCUGCAACCCGCCUGCACGAAGUUGGAGUUGCUAGUAACCGCAGGUCAGCUAUACUGCGGUGAAUACGUUCCCGGGGAUU
This 465-nucleotide ribosomal RNA is filed under the name uncultured Anaerolineaceae bacterium. RNAcentral's name for it is "bacterial SSU rRNA". It matches the Rfam family "Bacterial small subunit ribosomal RNA", at positions 901 to 1382 of the family's 1533-position model. Lineage: Bacteria; Bacillati; Chloroflexota; Anaerolineae; Anaerolineales; Anaerolineaceae. The record is from RNAcentral.